CGCCCUUAGAGUUUGAUCCUGGCUCAGAUCGAACGCUGGCGGCGUGGCUAAAACAUGCAAGUCGAACGCGAAAGUUUUUUCGGAAACGAGUAGAGUGGCGAAAGGGCGAGGAGCACAUGGGUAACGUACCCCGAGCACGAGGACAGCUGCGGGAAACUGCAGGUAAUACUCGAUGAGACCACGGUGUCAUAUGGCACAGCGGUCAAAGGGCGGGGAUCCGCUUCGGCGGACCUGCCGGCUUGGGAGCGGCCCAUGUCCUAUCAGCUUGUUGGCGAGGUAACAGCUCACCAAGGCUACGACGGGUACCGGGACUGAGAGGUUGAUCCGGCGCAUUGGGACUGAGACACUGCCCAGACUCCUACGGGAGGCUGCAGUAACGAAUAUUCCGCAAUGGGCGAAAGCCUGACGGAGCGACGCCGCGUGCAGGAUGAAGCCCUUCGGGGUGUAAACUGCUGUCAGGGACUACCAAGCAAUGGGGGCUAAUAUCUCCCGGCGUUGAGGAAUCCCUGAGGAAGCCACGGCUAACUUCGUGCCAGCAGCCGCGGUAAGACGAAGGUGGCAAGCGUUGUUCGGAAUCACUGGGCUUAAAGCGCAUGCAGGCGGCCCGUCAAGCGUCUUGUGAAAGCCCUCGGCUCAACCGAGGAAUUGCUAGGCGAACUGGCGGGCUUGAGGCGAGUAGAGGCGUGUGGAACUCUUGGUGGAGCGGUGGAAUGCGUAGAUAUCAAGAGGAACGCCGG
Molecule: ribosomal RNA, 737 nt
Filed under: uncultured bacterium
Lineage: Bacteria
Description: bacterial SSU rRNA
Rfam family: Bacterial small subunit ribosomal RNA
Source: RNAcentral